This 467-nucleotide ribosomal RNA is filed under the name uncultured bacterium. Its description in RNAcentral is "bacterial SSU rRNA". It matches the Rfam family "Bacterial small subunit ribosomal RNA", at positions 34 to 518 of the family's 1533-position model. The record is from RNAcentral.
CGCUGGCGGCGUGCUUAACGCAUGCAAGUCGAACGGACGAGCACCCUUCGGGGUGUAAGUUAGUGGCGGACGGGUGAGUAACGCGUGAGUAACCUGCCUUGGAGUGGGGGAUAACACAGGGAAACUUGUGCUAAUACCGCAUAAGAUCAUAGGGUGGCAUCAUCUAGUGAUCAAAGAUUUAUCGCUCCAAGAUGGGCUCGCGUCCGAUUAGAUAGUUGGUGAGGUAAAGGCCCACCAAGUCAACGAUCGGUAGCCGGACUGAGAGGUUGGCCGGCCACAUUGGGACUGAGACACGGCCCAGACUCCUACGGGAGGCAGCAGUGGGGAAUAUUAGGCAAUGGGGGAAACCCUGACCUAGCGACGCCGCGUGAAGGAUGAAGGUUUUCGGAUUGUAAACUUCUUUGGCAGAGGACGAUAAUGACGGUACUCUGAGAACAAGCCACGGCUAACUACGUGCCAGCCGCUGC